This 465-nucleotide ribosomal RNA is filed under the name Vreelandella stevensii. RNAcentral describes it as "partial 16S ribosomal RNA". It matches the Rfam family "Bacterial small subunit ribosomal RNA", at positions 338 to 795 of the family's 1533-position model. The record is from RNAcentral. Lineage: Bacteria; Pseudomonadati; Pseudomonadota; Gammaproteobacteria; Oceanospirillales; Halomonadaceae.
CCUACGGGUGGCUGCAGUGGGGAAUAUUGGACAAUGGGCGAAAGCCUGAUCCAGCCAUGCCGCGUGUGUGAAGAAGGCCUUCGGGUUGUAAAGCACUUUCAGUGGGGAAGAAAGCCUUGGGGCUAAUACCCUCGAGGAAGGACAUCACCCACAGAAGAAGCACCGGCUAACUCCGUGCCAGCAGCCGCGGUAAUACGGAGGGUGCGAGCGUUAAUCGGAAUUACUGGGCGUAAAGCGCGCGUAGGCGGUCUGAUAAGCCGGUUGUGAAAGCCCCGGGCUCAACCUGGGAACGGCAUCCGGAACUGUCAGGCUAGAGGGCAGGAGAGGAAGGCAGAAUUCCCGGUGUAGCGGUGAAAUGCGUAGAGAUCGGGAGGAAUACCAGUGGCGAAGGCGGCCUUCUGGACUGACACUGACGCUGAGGUGCGAAAGCGUGGGUAGCAAACAGGAUUAGAUACCCUAGUAGUC